This 253-nucleotide ribosomal RNA is filed under the name uncultured bacterium. RNAcentral describes it as "partial 16S ribosomal RNA". It matches the Rfam family "Bacterial small subunit ribosomal RNA", at positions 524 to 776 of the family's 1533-position model. The record is from RNAcentral.
UACGUAGGGGGCAAGCGUUGUCCGGAAUUAUUGGGCGUAAAGAGCUCGUAGGCGGUUUGUCGCGUCUGCUGUGAAAACUCGGGGCUUAACCCCGGGCCUGCAGUGGGUACGGGCAGACUAGAGUGCGGUAGGGGAGACUGGAAUUCCUGGUGUAGCGGUGAAAUGCGCAGAUAUCAGGAGGAACACCGGUGGCGAAGGCGGGUCUCUGGGCAUGUCCUGACGCUGAGGAGCGAAAGUGUGGGGAGCGAACAGG